UACAGAGACUGCAAGCGUUAUUCGGAUUCACUGGGCGUAAAGGGUGCGCAGGCGGCCAAGUUUGUGAGGCGUGAAAGCCCGGGGCUUAACCCCGGAAUUGCACCUCAAACUACAUGGCUAGAGCAUUGGAGAGGGUAGCAGAAUUCAUGGUGUAGCAGUGAAAUGCGUAGAUAUCAUGAGGAAUACCAGAGGCGAAGGCGGCUACCUGGACAAUUGCUGACGCUCAGGCACGAAAGCGUGGGGAGCAAAAGGG
This 253-nucleotide ribosomal RNA is filed under the name uncultured bacterium. RNAcentral's name for it is "partial 16S ribosomal RNA". It matches the Rfam family "Bacterial small subunit ribosomal RNA", at positions 524 to 776 of the family's 1533-position model. The record is from RNAcentral.